RNAcentral lists this ribosomal RNA (258 nucleotides) under uncultured bacterium. Its description in RNAcentral is "partial 16S ribosomal RNA". It matches the Rfam family "Bacterial small subunit ribosomal RNA", at positions 115 to 353 of the family's 1533-position model. The record is from RNAcentral.
ACGUAAACAACCUGCCUUCAGGAUGGGGGACAACAGACGGAAACGACUGCUAAUACCGAAUAAGUUCCAAGAGCCGCAUGGCCCAUGGAAGAAAAGGUGGCCUCUACCUGUAAGCUAUCGCCUGAAGAGGGGUUUGCGUCUGAUUAGCUGGUUGGAGGGGUAACGGCCCACCAAGGCGACGAUCAGUAGCCGGUCUGAGAGGAUGAACGGCCACACUGGAACUGAGACACGGUCCAGACUCCUACGGGAGGCAGCAUG